UAGGGAAUCUUCCACAAUGGACGCAAGUCUGAUGGAGCAACGCCGCGUGAGUGAAGAAGGUUUUCGGACCGUAAAGCUCUGUUGUUGGUGAAGAAGGAUAGAGGUAGUAACUGGCCUUUAUUUGACGGUAAUCAACCAGAAAGUCACGGCUAACUACGUGCCAGCAGCCGCGGUAAUACGUAGGUGGCAAGCGUUGUCCGGAUUUAUUGGGCGUAAAGCGAGCGCAGGCGGUUUUUUAGGUCUGAUGUGAAAGCCUUCGGCUUAACCGG
This 269-nucleotide ribosomal RNA is filed under the name uncultured bacterium. RNAcentral describes it as "partial 16S ribosomal RNA". It matches the Rfam family "Bacterial small subunit ribosomal RNA", at positions 355 to 616 of the family's 1533-position model. The record is from RNAcentral.